AUUGAACGCUGGCGGCAUGCUUUACACAUGCAAGUCGAGCGGCAGCGCGGGGGCAACCCUGGCGGCGAGCGGCGAACGGGUGAGUAAUGCAUCGGAACGUAUCCUCGAGUGGGGGAUAACCCAGCGAAAGUUGGGCUAAUACCGCAUGAGCUCUGAGGAGGAAAGCGGGGGACCUGCGAGGGCCUCGCGCUGGAGGAGCGGCCGAUGUCCGAUUAGCUAGUUGGUGGGGUAAAGGCUUACCAAGGCGACGAUCGGUAGCUGGUCUGAGAGGAUGAUCAGCCACACUGGGACUGAGACACGGCCCAGACUCCUACGGGAGGCAGCAGUGGGGAAUUUUGGACAAUGGGGGCAACCCUGAUCCAGCCAUGCCGCGUGAGUGAAGAAGGCCUUCGGGUUUUAAAGCUCUUUCGGACGGAACGAAAUGGGCGGGACUAAUACUCCUGUCUGAUGACGGUACCGUAAGAAGAAGCACCGGCUAACUACGUG
RNAcentral lists this ribosomal RNA (486 nucleotides) under uncultured bacterium. RNAcentral describes it as "partial 16S ribosomal RNA". It matches the Rfam family "Bacterial small subunit ribosomal RNA", at positions 29 to 507 of the family's 1533-position model. The record is from RNAcentral.